GCUCAACCAACCUAGAUGGCAUGAGAAAUACCCCGUUUUUGAAUAAGUCUUUGUAGAGAUUUCACUAGAGACCACGUACGAAUGUACAUAGAUGCAUUUUAGGUUAUAGAUUCACUCAUUUUGUUUCAUAUGAAGUUUAUCGUGAAAUCUCUACGAAUACUUAUAUUUAGGAAUGGAGGCAGUAGGAUACAAAGAGGGGAGUUGUGAUGUUCAUUUCAUUUCACAGACAGCAGAAAAACAGGUGGUGUCUGAUUACUCUGUUUUUGCGCAGGGCUCACCGACCUCUGGGAGAUACCAGGUGCUGCUGCUGAUUUCGUUUCAAGGGCCCCUGCAAACCUCUGGGCUGCGCUGGCGUGGUUGACUAAGCCCGCCGGAGAUGUCAAGCAUAGCCAAACCACUUCCCUCUAGCUAAUGCUGAUCGUAACACGGCGUGCAUGGAUUCAGAUUCUACUUUUAGAAGAUCGAUUUAGAUUGUAUCAUACCUUGCUUCCUCUUAUCCGGUGUGUAGUAGAAUAGAUGGUUUUUUUCUCGUGCCUCCUUUUGCUACCUCCAUGGUUGGUGUUUGGUGGGAGAGCGACGGAUGUGUGUUACUGUGGGCAA
Long non-coding RNA from Aegilops tauschii subsp. strangulata, 600 nucleotides. RefSeq lists it as uncharacterized. The record is from RefSeq and is a predicted model, not a curated record. NCBI's taxonomy places the organism in Eukaryota, Viridiplantae, Streptophyta, Magnoliopsida, Poales, Poaceae.